RNAcentral lists this ribosomal RNA (253 nucleotides) under uncultured bacterium. RNAcentral's name for it is "partial 16S ribosomal RNA". It matches the Rfam family "Bacterial small subunit ribosomal RNA", at positions 524 to 776 of the family's 1533-position model. The record is from RNAcentral.
UACGUAGGGUGCAAGCGUUAAUCGGAAUUACUGGGCGUAAAGCGUGCGCAGGCGGUUUUGUAAGACAGAGGUGAAAUCCCCGGGCUCAACCUGGGAACUGCCUUUGUGACUGCAAGGCUUGAGUGCGGCAGAGGGGGAUGGAAUUCCGCGUGUAGCAGUGAAAUGCGUAGAUAUGCGGAGGAACACCGAUGGCGAAGGCAAUCCCCCGGGCCUGCACUGACGCUCAUGCACGAAAGCGUGGGGAGCAAACAGG